RNAcentral lists this ribosomal RNA (861 nucleotides) under uncultured archaeon. RNAcentral's name for it is "bacterial SSU rRNA". It matches the Rfam family "Archaeal small subunit ribosomal RNA", at positions 474 to 1337 of the family's 1478-position model. The record is from RNAcentral.
CACCCGCAGCUCGAGUGGUGGUCACUUUUAUUGAGCCUAAAGCGUUUGUAGCCGGAUCCGUAAAUCUCUAGGCAAAUUCCUUCGCUUAACGAAGGAUCUUCUGGAGAGACUGCGGAUCUAGGGACCGGGUGAGGUUGAAUGUACUUCUGGGGUAGGGGUAAAAUCCUGUAAUCCUGGAAGGACGACCGGUGGCGAAGGCGUUCAACUAGAACGGAUCCGACGGUGAGGAACGAGGGCUAGGGGAGCAAACCGGAUUAGAUACCCGGGUAGUCCUAGCUGUAAACACUGCCCACUUGAUGUUGCAUCUCCGUGUAGGGGGUGCAGUGUCGUAGCGAAGGUGUUAAGUGGGCCGCUUGGGGAGUAUGGUCGCAAGGCUGAAACUUAAAGGAAUUGGCGGGGGAGCACCACAACGGGAGGAGCGUGCGGUUUAAUUGGAUUCAACGCCGGAAAGCUCACCAGGAGCGACCUUUGAAUGAGAGUCAACUUGACGAGCUUACUCGAUAGAAGGAGAGGUGGUGCAUGGCCGUCGUCAGCUCGUACCGUAGGGCGUUCACUUAAGUGUGAUAACGAGCGAGACCCCCAUCUUUAAUUGCCAUCAUGUUCGAGAGGACGUGGGCACUUUAAAGGGACCGCCAGCGCAGAGCUGGAGGAAGGAGGGGUCGACGGCAGGUCAGUACGCCCCGAAUCUCCUGGGCAACACGCGCGCUACAAAGGACAGGACAAUGGGCUGCGACCUCGAAAGGGGAAGCCAAUCUCGAAACCUGUUCGUAGUUAGGAUUGAGGGCUGUAACUCGCCCUCAUGAAUCUGGAUUCCGUAGUAAUCGCGGGUCAACAUCCCGCGGUGAAUAUGUCCCUGCUCCU